GUAGGUGGCAAGCGUUGUCCGGAAUUAUUGGGCGUAAAGCGCGCGCAGGCGGUUUUUAAGUCUGAUGUGAAAGCCCACGGCUCAACCGUGGAGGGUCAUUGGAAACUGGAGAACUUGAGUACAGAAGAGGAAAGCGGAAUUCCACGUGUAGCGGUGAAAUGCGUAGAGAUGUGGAGGAACACCAGUGGCGAAGGCGGCUUUCUGGUCUGUAACUGACGCUGAGGCGCGAAAGCGUGGGGAGCAAACAGGAUUAGAUACCCUGGUAGUCCACGCCGUAAACGAUGAGUGCUAAGUGUUAGGGGGUUUCCCGCCCCCUUAGUGCUGCAGCUAACGCAUUAAGCACUCCGCCUGGGGAGUACGGCCGCAAGGCUG
RNAcentral lists this ribosomal RNA (372 nucleotides) under uncultured organism. RNAcentral describes it as "partial 16S ribosomal RNA". It matches the Rfam family "Bacterial small subunit ribosomal RNA", at positions 527 to 896 of the family's 1533-position model. The record is from RNAcentral.